GCAAGUCGAGCGUGAAACUUCCUUCGGGGAGGAGUAAAGCGGCGGACGGGUGAGUAACGCGCAGGAAUCUGCCCAAAAGAGGGGGAUAACUUGGGGAAACCCAAGCUAAUACCGCAUAUACCUGAGGGUGAAAGGUGGGGAUCUUCGGACCUACCGCUUUUGGAGGAGCCUGCGUCGGAUUAGCUAGUUGGUGGGGUAAAGGCCUACCAAGGCGACGGUCCGUAGCUGGUCUGAGAGGAUGGCC
RNAcentral lists this ribosomal RNA (244 nucleotides) under uncultured bacterium. Its description in RNAcentral is "partial 16S ribosomal RNA". It matches the Rfam family "Bacterial small subunit ribosomal RNA", at positions 57 to 305 of the family's 1533-position model. The record is from RNAcentral.